AGACGAGUGGCGAACUGGUGAGUAACACGUGGGUAACCUGCCCUUGAAGUAGAGGAUAACACUUGGAAACAGGUGCUAAUACUGCAUAACAACGAAAACCGCCUGGUUUUCGUUUGAAAGAUGGCUUCGGCUAUCGCUUUAGGAUGGACCCGCGGCGUAUUAGCUAGUUGGUGAGGUAACGGCUCACCAAGGCAAUGAUACGUAGCCGACCUGAGAGGGUAAUCGGCCACAUUGGGACUGAGACACGGCCCAAACUCCUACGGGAGGCAGCAGUAGGGAAUCUUCCACAAUGGACGAAAGUCUGAUGGAGCAACGCCGCGUGAGUGAUGAAGGGUUUCGGCUCGUAAAACUCUGUUGUUGGAGAAGAACGGGUGUCAGAGUAACUGUUGACAUCGUGACGGUAUCCAACCAGAAAGCCACGGCUAACUACGUGCCAGCAGCCGCGGUAAUACGUAGGUGGCAAGCGUUGUCCGGAUUUAUUGGGCGUAAAGCGAGCGCAGGCGGUUUUUUAGGUCUGAUGUGAAAGCCUUCGGCUUAACCGGAGAAGUGCAUCGGAAACCGGGAGACUUGAGUGCAGAAGAGGACAGUGGAACUCCAUGUGUAGCGGUGAAAUGCGUAGAUAUAUGGAAGAACACCAGUGGCGAAGGCGGCUGUCUGGUCUGCAACUGACGCUGAG
Molecule: ribosomal RNA, 676 nt
Filed under: Lentilactobacillus diolivorans
Lineage: Bacteria; Bacillati; Bacillota; Bacilli; Lactobacillales; Lactobacillaceae
Description: bacterial SSU rRNA
Rfam family: Bacterial small subunit ribosomal RNA
Source: RNAcentral